Molecule: ribosomal RNA, 443 nt
Filed under: uncultured bacterium
Lineage: Bacteria
Description: partial 16S ribosomal RNA
Rfam family: Bacterial small subunit ribosomal RNA
Source: RNAcentral
CCUACGGGUGGCAGCAGUGGGGAAUAUUGCACAAUGGGGGGAACCCUGAUCCAGCGACGCCGCGUGAGUGAAGAAGUAUUUCGGUAUGUAAAGCUCUAUCAGCAGGGAAGAAAGAAAUGACGGUACCUGAAUAAGCAGCCCCGGAUAACUACGGGCCAGCAGCCGCGGUACUACGUAGGGGGCCAGCGUUCUCCGGAUUUACGGGGUGUAAAGGGAGCGUAGACGGCGAUGCAAGUCUGAAGUGAAAGGCGGGGGCUCAACCCCGGGACUGCGUUGGAAACUGUAUGGCUGGAGUGCAGGAGAGGUAAGUGGAAUUCCUAGUGUAGCGGUGAAAUGCGUAGAUAUUAGGAGGAACACCAGUGGCGAAGGCGGCUUACUGGACUGUAACUGACGUUGAGGCUCGAAAGCGUGGGGAGCAAACAGGAUUAGAUACCCUUGUAGUC